AGUAAAAGUCGUAACAAGGUUUCCGUAGGUGAACCUGCGGAAGGAUCAUUAUCGAGUUUAGGGUCCUCUGGGCCCCAUCUCCAACCCUUGUCUAUCCUACCACGUUGCUUUGGCGGGCCCGCCCUUAACCGGGCCGCUGGGGGAUGUUCGUCCCUGGCCAGCGCCCGCCAACGGCCCCCCAAAAUUCCAAAAAUAAACAGUGAAAUGUCUAAAUUUUUUACAAGAAUAAAUUAAAAACUUUCAACAACGGAUCUCUUGGUUCUGGCAUCGAUGAAGAACGCAGCGAAAUGCGAUAAGUAAUGCGAAUUGCAGAAUUCCGUGAGUCAUCGAAUCUUUGAACGCACAUUGCGCCCUUUGGUAUUCCGAAGGGCAUGCCUGUUCGAGCGUCAUUAUCAACCCUCAAGCCCGGCUUGGCGUUGGGUCGCGCCGGGGGUAAAACUCCGGCGGACCCCAAAGGUAAUGGCCGAGCCCGUGUGGACCCUGGAUGCAGCGAGCUUUCUGGCACGUGUCGCGGUGGUCCUCCGGCUCGGUCUCGGACAAAAUUAUUUUUUUUCAAAAACUGGUUGACCUCGGAUCAGGUAGGGAUACCCGCUGAACUUAAGCAUAUCA
This 609-nucleotide ribosomal RNA is filed under the name Agonimia vouauxii. RNAcentral's name for it is "eukaryotic LSU rRNA". The stretch from base 236 to 389 matches the Rfam family "5.8S ribosomal RNA". Lineage: Eukaryota; Fungi; Ascomycota; Eurotiomycetes; Verrucariales; Verrucariaceae. The record is from RNAcentral.